UAUUCCCUCGAGUCUAAAUUGGGGGAUUGUAAGCGUGCUGCUGCAAUCAGGCGCGAGGCCUUGCAGAGGAUAACUGGCAAGUCUCUCUCUGGGUUACCACUGGAGGGCUUUGAUUACGAGUCAAUCUUGGGGCAGUGUUGCGAGAUGCCAGUUGGGUAUGUCCAAAUUCCCGUUGGAAUUGCUGGACCUUUGUUGCUAGACGGCAAGGAAUACUCGGUUCCCAUGGCUA
RNAcentral lists this unclassified non-coding RNA (229 nucleotides) under Hevea brasiliensis (rubber tree). Lineage: Eukaryota; Viridiplantae; Streptophyta; Magnoliopsida; Malpighiales; Euphorbiaceae. The record is from RNAcentral.